GCCGCCGCGAUACAUGCGCAUCUGUUUUUUUCCCCUUUUGCACUUCGCUCACAUGGAAGAAAACAGAAGGAUUUUUAGCAGCGUGUCAGUUACCCGAAGAGAUCAGAAACAUCUGGCUUGCUUAUUCAUGACCUGUCAGAAAAACAUAUUGUUGGAGCUGAGAUUGUUUGGUAGAUGCAAGCUUGGAAACAAGGAGUUUCUCUGUUCAUGAACUCAAGAAAUUGUGAGUAAUUAAGAAGAUGAAGAAUGUAUGUGGUGUACUUUGGAGAUCUAUCUACAGAUAAUAUACUUCUUAAACUGAAGAUACCAAUCUGCAUUUCUCAGAUGAGGAAACCGAGACCUGGAGAAGUGAAGUGUUUUGCCCCUAAAUUCCACAGAUAGCACAUAGAGCUGAGAAA
This is a long non-coding RNA of Antechinus flavipes (yellow-footed antechinus), 398 nucleotides long. RefSeq lists it as uncharacterized. The transcript is spliced from 3 exons. The record is from RefSeq and is a predicted model, not a curated record. Lineage: Eukaryota; Metazoa; Chordata; Mammalia; Dasyuromorphia; Dasyuridae.